AUUGAACGCUGGCGGCAGGCCUAACACAUGCAAGUCGAGCGGUAACAUUUCAAAAGCUUGCUUUUGAAGAUGACGAGCGGCGGACGGGUGAGUAAUGCCUGGGAAUAUGCCUUGAUGUGGGGGAUAACCAUUGGAAACGAUGGCUAAUACCGCAUAAUGCCUACGGGCCAAAGAGGGGGAUCUUCGGACCUCUCGCGUCAAGAUUAGCCCAGGUGGGAUUAGCUAGUUGGUGAGGUAAUGGCUCACCAAGGCGACGAUCCCUAGCUGGUCUGAGAGGAUGAUCAGCCACACUGGAACUGAGACACGGUCCAGACUCCUACGGGAGGCAGCAGUGGGGAAUAUUGCACAAUGGGCGCAAGCCUGAUGCAGCCAUGCCGCGUGUGUGAAGAAGGCCUUCGGGUUGUAAAGCACUUUCAGUCGUGAGGAAGGUGGUAGUGUUAAUAGCAUAAUAUUUGACGUUAG
This 462-nucleotide ribosomal RNA is filed under the name uncultured bacterium. RNAcentral describes it as "bacterial SSU rRNA". It matches the Rfam family "Bacterial small subunit ribosomal RNA", at positions 30 to 478 of the family's 1533-position model. The record is from RNAcentral.